UACGUAGGCAGCAAGCGUUGUUCGGAGUUACUGGGCGUAAAGGGUGCGUAGGCGGCUUUUUAAGUUUGGUGUGAAAUCUCCCGGCUCAACUGGGAGGGUGCGCCGAAUACUGAGAGGCUAGAGUGUGGGAGAGGAAAGUGGAAUUCCUGGUGUAGCGGUGAAAUGCGUAGAUAUCAGGAAGAACACCCGUGGCGAAGGCGGCUCUCUGGGACGGUACUGACGCUGAGACGCGAAAGCGUGGGGAGCAAACAGG
This 253-nucleotide ribosomal RNA is filed under the name uncultured bacterium. RNAcentral's name for it is "partial 16S ribosomal RNA". It matches the Rfam family "Bacterial small subunit ribosomal RNA", at positions 524 to 776 of the family's 1533-position model. The record is from RNAcentral.